AACGAACGCUGGCGGCGUGGAUAAGACAUGCAAGUCGAACGAGAGUUUGUUUAUAGCAAUAUGAGCGAACUUUAGUGGCGAAAGGGUGCGUAACACGUGGCUAUCUACCUCGAAGUGGGGGAUAUCUCCGAGAAAUCGGAGUUAAUACCGCAUGUGACCGCAAGGUCAAAGCUGGGGAUCGUAAGACCUGGCGCUUUGAGAUGAGGCUGCGGCCUAUCAGGAGUUGGC
RNAcentral lists this ribosomal RNA (228 nucleotides) under uncultured bacterium. RNAcentral describes it as "partial 16S ribosomal RNA". It matches the Rfam family "Bacterial small subunit ribosomal RNA", at positions 29 to 253 of the family's 1533-position model. The record is from RNAcentral.